RNAcentral lists this long non-coding RNA (444 nucleotides) under Priapulus caudatus. RNAcentral's name for it is "uncharacterized LOC106809705, transcript variant X2". The record is from RNAcentral. Lineage: Eukaryota; Metazoa; Priapulida; Priapulimorpha; Priapulimorphida; Priapulidae.
GACGGGUACCAGUCUACACCACACACAACUCUCGUUAAUCGUUUGUUCUGGCGGCGCAAUUUAACUUAAUUUGAUUAAUUUUUAUUAAUCAAAAGCCGAUAGUCACGUAAUCUCUGUGUUCGUAAACACGCACAGCAGUAAUCCACUGCAAAGUCCGGUGCAAAGUCUGUGCAUCAGUGGGUGAUACACAGAAAUCUGUGCAUCACUUCGUGAUAUAAUUAAGGUGCCUAAAGUGGAUUUGCACCCAGAAGAACAACAGUCAACACGAGUCUCACCAUGGCAAGUUUAGCUGGAAAAGUAGCCCUCAUCACAGGUGCAAGUUCUGGAAUCGGCGCUGCCACUGCUAUAUUAUUUGCCAAACACGGAGUGAGGUUGUCACUGACAGGUCGAAACAUGGACAAUCUCAAUAAAACAAAGAAUGAUUGCUUGCAAGUCAACAAUAAG